UUAAAAGCAAUUCAAGGUGCGGCUGGGACUCACUGGCUCUCGCCACAGGUGAAUUCCUGCCUGGCUCACCUAGUGCUUGAAGCCUCUGACCCUGGGGCUGGCUCAGGGGAGUGGUGGGUCAGAAGUGCCUAACCUCCCUUUCUGCCUGUUUCUCCUCCCAACUCCUCCACUGGCCCGAGCAGCUGGGCGGGGCCUGCCUGCUGGCCAUCGGCAUCUGGGUCAUGGUGGACCCCACCGGCUUCCGGGAGAUCGUGGCUGCCAAUCCUCUGCUCCUCACGGGCGCCUACAUCCUCCUGGCCAUGGGGGGCCUGCUCUUUCUGCUCGGCUUCCUGGGCUGCUGCGGGGCCGUCCGUGAGAACAAGUGUCUGCUGCUAUUUUUCUUCCUGUUCAUCCUGAUCAUCUUCCUGGCAGAGCUCUCAGCAGCCAUCCUGGCCUUCAUCUUCAGGGAAAAUCUCACCCGAGAAUUCUUCACCAAGGAGCUCACCAAGCACUACCAGGGCAAUAACGACACAGACGUCUUCUCCGCCACCUGGAACUCGGUCAUGAUCACAUUUGGUUGCUGCGGGGUCAACGGGCCUGAAGACUUUAAGUUUGCAUCUGUGUUUCGGCUCCUGACCCUGGAUAGUGAAGAGGUGCCGGAGGCCUGCUGCCGGAGGGAACCCCAAAGUCGGGACGGGGUCCUGCUGAGCCGGGAGGAGUGCCUCCUGGG
This 709-nucleotide small RNA is filed under the name Pan troglodytes (chimpanzee). RNAcentral's name for it is "retained intron". The record is from RNAcentral. Lineage: Eukaryota; Metazoa; Chordata; Mammalia; Primates; Hominidae.